Non-coding RNA from Potamilus streckersoni, 72 nucleotides. The record is from the annotation of a GenBank genome assembly. NCBI's taxonomy places the organism in Eukaryota, Metazoa, Mollusca, Bivalvia, Unionida, Unionidae.
GCUCCUGUGGCCUAGUGGUAGAGCGUUCGCCUUGGAUGCGGGAGAUCGCGGGUCCGAACCCCUGCUGAAUCA